Molecule: long non-coding RNA, 1628 nt
Organism: Bos grunniens (domestic yak)
Lineage: Eukaryota; Metazoa; Chordata; Mammalia; Artiodactyla; Bovidae
Source: Ensembl
AUGUCUGGGCUCCCUGGGCGCUCUGCGGGCGUCGUCAACCCUGACCCUCAAGCCAGAGGGUCACUACUCUGUCUGCCAUCCGCCCCGUGCAUCCCAAGCGGCGACACUCGAUUCGUGUCCCCGGGAGACCCUCAGCAGAGAAACCUGCUGCUCCUGGAGCGUCUCAGCAGAGCGUCCAAAAGCAGACUCACUACUGUUGUCCUUGCGUGUCCCGCAGAUCCUGGCCAACCUAGAGCAGGGCCUGGCGGAGGACGGGACCACGAGCAGCAUCGCGCAGGAGAACAGGCAAGGUCAGUGCCGCACGUGUCCCCGGGCCGGCCCAGGCCUGCUCCGGGCCUCAGCCUCUGUCCGUCUCGCCUCUCCCACGCGCAUCUCCUCGCUGCUUUCCUCCCAGAACGAGCAUCCUUUCUAGGAGGUUCUUACCUCAGAGUUGCCCCUUGGUCCUGGCAGCAGGAGGAGGGUCCUCCCCGGGCCUGUUCUGCCCCGGCCUCUCCACCCUCCCACCCCACAUCUCCUCUCCCGCCAGCCCUCGGAGCCUGGCGAGGCAGCUGGGUUAGGAACCGAUGCUUCCACGUAAGCGGGUGGGACACCCAGGCCUCGGGCAGGCAGGCCGCUGUCACCAGGGCUGCGGUGCUGACGCCCCUGUGUGACUGUCCACAGCCCUACAGCGGGGAGCCCCGCCCAUCCACAACCCGCCGGGGUGGCCCCGCUACACGACGGGCUCAUCUCCUGGUCCAGUCAGGCUCUGUCCCCCUGAAGCUGGGCGGCCGUCGAGAGCACAGCCCGAGGAACGCGCCAAGGUGCACAGGAAGCCGUGGCCAGGGCAGGGCCACAGACGUGGGGGCUGCAUCCGUCUGUGGCUGGGCUGCUGGCCACGUCCCUGGGCGCUCACCCCUCCUCUUUUUCAGCCUCCGUGCAGCUGUGGCGGUCCCGCCUGGGCCGCGUGACCUGCUCCAUGGCCAACUGCCUGCUGCUCAUGAAGGACUACGUGCUGGCCGUGGACGCGUACCGCGCGGUCGUCCAGUUCCACCCAGAGCAGGAGCCCCAGGUGCUGAGCUGCAUCGGCCGCAUCUUUCUGCAGAUUGGAGACAUAAAAGCAGCUGAAAAGUACUUUCAAGACGUAGAGAAAGUAACCCAGAAAUUGGAUGGACUGCAGGGCAAAACCAUGGUUUUGAUGAACAGGUGUGUAUUUCUUUUCUGUGAUCUCCAGCUUUGCUGAGCCGUAACUGCAGCACGGUGCAGGUUUAAGGUGAGAACAAUAAUGACUUGACUUCCAUACAUUGGGACAUUGGGAAGUGAUGCCCACAAAAUAGCGAACACUCAUCACCCCAUACGGAUACAAAAUUAGAGACAGAGCGCACUCUCUCCGCGUUCACGGUAACGCACAGCGGUGUGGAUGCUGUUCCCGGUGCUGUACGCUGCGCCCCGGGUGCCUGUGGACCACCUUCAUCCAAUCCUGCCCUCCUUCCCCGGUGACCACAAUUGAAUCUUUCUCUGUGAGUUAGUUUGGAGUGUCAUUGACCUGAAACACCAUUCGUUCCUGUUACACAGCAUAGUGACCUGAUGUUUCUCUCUCUUACGAACUGCAGCACGACUAGUCUAGUUACGGUCCGUCUGCCCACAAAGAU